Molecule: non-coding RNA, 45 nt
Organism: Rattus norvegicus (Norway rat)
Lineage: Eukaryota; Metazoa; Chordata; Mammalia; Rodentia; Muridae
Source: Rfam
ACAAAGGCCCUUUUCAGGGCCCCCAAACUAUCAAAAAGGAGCUGU